CAAAUUCCUUCAUUUUCGGCUUAACUUGUAAAAAGCACAUCCACCACAAGGGUAUGAACCAAUGGUGGGAGAUCUCAACCAGUGUAGUUACAGGAAUAUCAGUAUAUCGGGACUCAUAUUCGUGAUGGAGUUCUGGCGAGUAUCACCAAAGAGGACGUACCAUCGAUCAGGAAUGUUGAUUGAUAGGUUUCAGGAUGAAUUGGAGAUUUGAUUUUAACAAGGAAGGAGAGGUGGAUCAAUGAUUGGACAAUUUAAUAGAUCCUAUGAUAUGUGGAAUCAUAUGUCAAUAGCCUCAAUGACAGGUCUCAGGAAGUCUACUGGCCAAAGCAUACAUACUGCUUCCUUUUGGUUGGUGAGCUCCCACUGCGUUCCACUGCUUUGACUUUCUGAAGAUCUCUUCUAUAACAGUCUUUCAGAGAGCGCCAUCUAGUCUCUACAUCGGUCACUAAUGAAUGGGUGUAAUGUAUUUUUCGUAGAACAGUCAGCAUAACUGCUAUUCCUGAUGUCCCAUAUAGCCAGCUUUGCUUGCACAGGUAAAAUAGAGUCUCUGUAUUCAUUUCUGCAUGGGUGGAGGUAAUUUAUGUGACCUAUUGAUAAACAAUUAUGUCCAUUUAAAACAAUGUCAAUACGUGGCAAAAGGAGAACAUUGUGGAAUAAGAACAUUUAAAAAUAAAAUAACCAUAAUUCAAUUAAAUAUAACACACUUUGUAAAGGACUUCUUUCAUUAUAAAAGAAAAAUAGGUGUGGCUUACUGGAAAUGACAGUGCCUAAGACUGUUAGAUUUACAGUAACAAUACUAAA
Molecule: long non-coding RNA, 801 nt
Organism: Hyla sarda
Lineage: Eukaryota; Metazoa; Chordata; Amphibia; Anura; Hylidae
Exons: 3
Source: RefSeq, a predicted model, not a curated record